This 1214-nucleotide long non-coding RNA is filed under the name Macaca mulatta (Rhesus monkey). Its description in RNAcentral is "lncRNA (ENSMMUG00000060000.1)". The record is from RNAcentral. Lineage: Eukaryota; Metazoa; Chordata; Mammalia; Primates; Cercopithecidae.
GUUCUGGAAGGGGGAUGCUUAGUGUCUGAGGCGACUUGGGUUGCCCUCAUCUUCCUGGCAGCGACGUGUAAGGGGGAGGGGCAAAAGGAGGGCUGGACUCGGGUACGAAGGGAUUCGGCGCGCUGGCUGCACCGGAGCGGACAGGUGCGGUGUGAUGCAUUGAGGAUGUGCCUCCAGUGCACAAGGAACAAGGCAGGGAACCUUCUCUGGGCGCUCCCUUCAUCAUGGAGAAGAUGGGCACAGAAUGCGUGGUGGAAUGAGCCCUGGAAAGUCAGCAGGUGCCAGGCAGCGGAGGAUGGACCUAUCCUUGAGGUGGCCAGGAUUCAUUGUGUAAUGAAUUGAGUGGUGGGAAAACAGCAAUGAAUGAGACAGAUCCAGUCCCGGCACAAAGAAGGCUGUCCAGACCGGGGGAAGUGACAGGUAAACUGAGGCAGGGACCUGCUGGCUUUAAAUAGCAGUCCCCCUUGUGGUGAUCUGGGCAGAGAGGACCACUCAUAUGGAGGCUCUGAGGGUGUUACCAAGAACAAAGCCGGCAGGCGAUAGGGAGUGGUGGGGUCUGUGGCAACCCAGAAAUGCCUGCCAGGUCUAAAGGGAUCAAGGUGGGUGUGGUGGAAUGGAGAAAGGUUGGGAAGGGGGUUGGGACUAGGAGUGAGGGGUUAUAGGUGAGUCCCAGAGAGGUAGAGGUGAUGGCCACGGGAAGGUAGAAGGUGACUCCUAACCUUACAUGAGCUCAUUUCAGGGGACACAAAAGCCAAAUGCUGACCAGGGAAUGAAAAUGCAGAAAUUGGGCAGGUGCGAGGCAGUGGUAAAGAACAGGGUAGCUGAAGUUGCACCCCCCUUUUCCAUGGGCACCCGCUUGCUACCACUCAGCUCCAGCUGUGCGCUCCCACGUGGGAACUCAGGCUCAAUGUUGCCAGAAUAGCUUCUUCAAGAGAAGCCAGAAAUCACGGUUGUUGUGCAAAAUUCCCUGAGUUUUAAAUAUCCCAUGGGGAUCUACUAAAGUUAAAUUGCUUCAACCCAGCAAUUCCAUUCCUGGGUUGAUUCCCAGUGGAAGCGGGAGCUUAGGUUCACCUAAAGACACAUCCAUGGAUGUGCCUAGCAGCUUCAUUCAUGAUCGCCAGACACCGGACACCCCCUAAGUUGACCAUCAACUGGCAAGCGGAAAACAAAUGGGAGGACAUUCCUAUAAUGGAAUAUAACACAGCAAUGAAAAA